GCAACGCCGCGUGAGGGAUGACGGCCUUCGGGUUGUAAACCUCUUUCAGUACCGACGAAGCGCAAGUGACGGUAGGUACAGAAGAAGCACCGGCCAACUACGUGCCAGCAGCCGCGGUAAUACGUAGGGUGCGAGCGUUGUCCGGAAUUAUUGGGCGUAAAGGGCUCGUAGGCGGUUUGUCGCGUCGGGAGUGAAAACACCGUGCUUAACACGGUGCUUGCUUUCGAUACGGGCAGACUAGAGGCAUGCAGGGGAGAACGGAAUUCCUGGUGUAGCGGUGAAAUGCGCAGAUAUCAGGAGGAACACCGGUGGCGAAGGCGGUUCUCUGGGCAUGUCCUGACGCUGAGGAGCGAAAGUGUGGGGAGCGAACAGGAUUAGAUACCCUGGUAGUCCACACCGUAAACGUUGGGCGCUAGGUGUGGGAUCCAUUCCACGGGUUCCGUGCCGCAGCUAACGCAUUAAGCGCCCCGCCUGGGGAGUACGGCCGCAAGGCUAAAACUCAAAGGAAUUGACGGGGGCCCGCACAAGCGGCGGAGCAUGCGGAUUAAUUCGAUGCAACGCGAAGAACCUUACCUGGGUUUGACAUACGCCGGAAAGCCUCAGAGAUGAGGCCCCUUUUGUCG
Molecule: ribosomal RNA, 623 nt
Filed under: Nocardioides sp. Ri2Ps_4950
Lineage: Bacteria; Bacillati; Actinomycetota; Actinomycetes; Propionibacteriales; Nocardioidaceae
Description: bacterial SSU rRNA
Rfam family: Bacterial small subunit ribosomal RNA
Source: RNAcentral